RNAcentral lists this ribosomal RNA (589 nucleotides) under uncultured bacterium. RNAcentral's name for it is "bacterial SSU rRNA". It matches the Rfam family "Bacterial small subunit ribosomal RNA", at positions 30 to 610 of the family's 1533-position model. The record is from RNAcentral.
UGAACGCUGGCGGCGGCCUACACAUGCAAGUCAAGCGGAAACGAAGAGGUGCUUGCACCUCUGGCGUCGAGCGGCGGUCGGGUGAGUAAUGCUUGGGAAUAUGCCUUAUGGUGGGGGACAACAGUUGGAAACGACUGCUAAUACCGCAUGAUGUCUACGGACCAAAGUGGGGGACCUUCGGGCCUCACGCCAUAAGAUUAGCCCAAGUGGGAUUAGCUAGUUGGUGAGGUAAUGGCUCACCAAGGCGACGAUCCCUAGCUGGUUUGAGAGGAUGAUCAGCCACACUGGGACUGAGACACGGCCCAGACUCCUACGGGAGGCAGCAGUGGGGAAUAUUGCACAAUGGGCGCAAGCCUGAUGCAGCCAUGCCGCGUGUGUGAAGAAGGCCUUCGGGUUGUAAAGCACUUUCAGUAAGGAGGAAAGGUUAAGUGUUAAUAGCACUUAGCUGUGACGUUACUUACAGAAGAAGCACCGGCUAACUCCGUGCCAGCAGCCGCGGUAAUACGGAGGGUGCGAGCGUUAAUCGGAAUUACUGGGCGUAAAGCGUACGCAGGCGGUUUGGUUAGCGAGAUGUGAAAGCCCUGGGCUC